Molecule: small RNA, 798 nt
Filed under: Pan troglodytes (chimpanzee)
Lineage: Eukaryota; Metazoa; Chordata; Mammalia; Primates; Hominidae
Description: retained intron
Source: RNAcentral
GGACAUCCUGCAGAAGGUAGGAGUGAGCAAACACCUGCUGCAGGGGAGGGGAGAGCCCUGCGGCACCUGGGGGAGCAGAGGGAGCAGCACCUGCCCAGGCCUGGGAGGAGGGGCCUGGAGGGUGUGAGGAGGAGUGAGGGGGCUGCAUGGCUGGAGUGAGGGAUCGGGGGCAGGGCAUGAGAUGGCCUCACAUGGGGAAGAGAGGGCCCCUCCUGCAGGACCUCACCUGGGCCACAGGAGGACACUGCUUUUCCUCUGAGGAGUCAGGAGCUGUGGAUGGUGCUGGACAGAAGCAGGACAGGGCCUGGCUCAGGGUGAUUCUGGGGGUCCACUUGUCUGUAAUGGUGUGCUUCAAGGUAUCACAUCAUGGGGCCCUGAGCCAUGUGCCCUGCCUGAAAAGCCUGCUGUGUACACCAAGGUGGUGCAUUACCGGAAGUGGAUCAAGGACACCAUCGCAGCCAACCCCUGAGUGCCCCUGUCCCACCCCUACCUCUAGUAAAUUUAAGUCCACCUCACGUUCUGGCAUCACUUGGCCUUUCUGGAUGCUGGACACCUGAAGCUUGGAACUCACCUGGCCGAAGCUCGAGCCUCCUGAGUCCUACUGACCUGUGCUUUCUGGUGUGGAGUCCAGGGCUGCUAGGAAAAGGAAUGGGCAGACACAGGUGUAUGCCAAUGUUUCUGAAAUGGGUAUAAUUUCGUCCUCUCCUUCGGAACACUGGCUGUCUCUGGAGACUUCUCACUCAGUUUCAGUGAGGACACACACAAAGACGUGGGUGACCAUGUUGUUUGUGGGGUGCA